GUGCCAGCCGCCGCGGUAAUACCGGCAGCCCGAGUGAUGGCCGAUCUUAUUGGGCCUAAAGCGUCCGUAGCUGGCCGCGCAAGUCCAUCGGAAAAUCCACCCGCCCAACGGGUGGGCGUCCGGUGGAAACUGCGUGGCUUGGGACCGGAAGGCGCGACGGGUACGUCCGGGGUAGGAGUGAAAUCCCGUAAUCCUGGACGGACCACCGAUGGCGAAAGCACUCUGAGAAGACGGCUUCGACAGUGAGGGACGAAAGCUAGGGUCUCAAACCGGAUUAGAAACCCCUGUAGUCC
This 293-nucleotide ribosomal RNA is filed under the name uncultured bacterium. RNAcentral's name for it is "partial 16S ribosomal RNA". It matches the Rfam family "Archaeal small subunit ribosomal RNA", at positions 455 to 747 of the family's 1478-position model. The record is from RNAcentral.